This 373-nucleotide ribosomal RNA is filed under the name uncultured organism. RNAcentral's name for it is "partial 16S ribosomal RNA". It matches the Rfam family "Bacterial small subunit ribosomal RNA", at positions 526 to 896 of the family's 1533-position model. The record is from RNAcentral.
AGAGGGGUGCAAGCGUUAAUCGGAAUUACUGGGCGUAAAGGGCGCGUAGGUGGUUAAUUAAGUCAGAUGUGAAAUGUUCAGGGCUCAACCUGGAUUUGUCAUAUGAAACUGGGUGACUGGAGUACGGUAGAGGGUAGUGGAAUUUCCGGUGUAGCGGUGAAAUGCGUAGAUACCGGAAGGAACAUCAGUGGCGAAGGCGGCUACCUGGACUGAUACUGACACUGAGGCGCGAAAGCGUGGGGAGCGAACAGGAUUAGAUACCCUGGUAGUCCACGCUGUAAACGAUGACAACUAGCCGUUGGGACUGAAGAGGGUUUUAGUGGCGCAGCUAACGCGAUAAGUUGUCCGCCUGGGGAGUACGACCGCAAGGUUA